This 425-nucleotide ribosomal RNA is filed under the name uncultured bacterium. Its description in RNAcentral is "partial 16S ribosomal RNA". It matches the Rfam family "Bacterial small subunit ribosomal RNA", at positions 354 to 796 of the family's 1533-position model. The record is from RNAcentral.
GUGGGGAAUAUUGGGCAAUGGGGGAAACCCUGACCCAGCAACGCCGCGUGAAGGAAGAAGGUUUUCGGAUCGUAAACUUCUAUCCUUGGUGAAGAUAAUGACGGUAGCCAAGAAGGAAGCCCCGGCUAACUACGUGCCAGCAGCCGCGGUAAUACGUAGGGGGCAAGCGUUGUCCGGAAUGAUUGGGCGUAAAGGGCGCGUAGGCGGCCUGGUAAGUCUGGAGUGAAAGUCCUGCUUUUAAGGUGGGAAUUGCUUUGGAUACUGUCGGGCUUGAGUGCAGGAGAGGUAAGCGUAAUUCCCGGUGUAGCGGUGAAAUGCGUAGAGAUCGGGAGGAACACCAGUGGCGAAGGCGGCUUACUAAGCUACAACUGACACUGAAGCACGAAAGCGUGGGGAUCAAACAGGAUUAGAAACCCCGGUAGUCC